UUGCUUCUAUGACGUUAGCGGCGGACGGGUGAGUAACACGUGGGCAACCUGCCUGUAAGACUGGGAUAACUUCGGGAAACCGAAGCUAAUACCGGAUAGGAUCUUCUCCUUCAUGGGAGAUGAUUGAAAGAUGGUUUCGGCUAUCACUUACAGAUGGGCCCGCGGUGCAUUAGCUAGUUGGUGAGGUAACGGCUCACCAAGGCCACGAUGCAUAGCCGACCUGAGAGGGUGAUCGGCCACACUGGGACUGAGACACGGCCCAGACUCCUACGGGAGGCAGCAGUAGGGAAUCUUCCGCAAUGGACGAAAGUCUGACGGAGCAACGCCGCGUGAGUGAUGAAGGCUUUCGGGUCGUAAAACUCUGUUGUUAGGGAAGAACAAGUACAAGAGUAACUGCUUGUACCCUUGACGGUACCUAACCAGAAAGCCACGGCUAACUACGUGCCAGCAGCCGCGGUAAUACGUAGGUGGCAAGCGUUAUCCGGAAUUAUUGGGCGUAAAGCGCGCGCAGGCGGUUUCUUAAGUCUGAUGUGAAAGCCCACGGCUCAACCGUGGAGGGUCAUUGGAAACUGGGGAACUUGAGUGCAGAAGAGAAAAGCGGAAUUCCACGUGUAGCGGUGAAAUGCGUAGAGAUGUGGAGGAACACCAGUGGCGAA
RNAcentral lists this ribosomal RNA (656 nucleotides) under Priestia megaterium. RNAcentral's name for it is "bacterial SSU rRNA". It matches the Rfam family "Bacterial small subunit ribosomal RNA", at positions 78 to 719 of the family's 1533-position model. The record is from RNAcentral. Lineage: Bacteria; Bacillati; Bacillota; Bacilli; Caryophanales; Bacillaceae.